This 428-nucleotide ribosomal RNA is filed under the name uncultured bacterium. Its description in RNAcentral is "bacterial SSU rRNA". It matches the Rfam family "Bacterial small subunit ribosomal RNA", at positions 355 to 774 of the family's 1533-position model. The record is from RNAcentral.
UCGAGAAUUUUUCACAAUGGGGGAAACCCUGAUGGAGCGACGCCGCGUGGAGGAUGAAGGUUUUCGGAUUGUAAACUCCUGUCACUACAGAACAAGACUACUUAGUCUAAUAAACUAGGUAGUUGAUGGUAUGGGGAGAGGAAGGGACGGCUAACUCUGUGCCAGCAGCCGCGGUAAUACAGAGGUCCCGAGCGUUGUUCGGAUUCAUUGGGCGUAAAGGGCGUGUAGGAGGUUAAAUAAGUCAGGCGUGAAAUCUCACCGCUUAACGGUGAAAUUGCGCUUGAUACUGUUUGGCUAGAUGAUUGGAGGGGGUAACGGAAUUCUUGGUGUAGCAGUGAAAUGCGUAGAUAUCAAGAGAAACACCAGUGGCGAAGGCGAUUACCUGGAAAAUUCCUGAAUCUGAAACACGAAAGCUAGGGGAGCAAACG